UACAGAGGUCUCAAGCGUUGUUCGGAUUCAUUGGGCGUAAAGGGUGCGUAGGCGGUAGCACAAGUCAGUUGUGAAAUCUCCGGGCUUAACUCGGAAAGGUCAACUGAUACUGUGCGACUAGAGUGCAGAAGGGGCAACUGGAAUUCUCGGUGUAGCGGUGAAAUGCGUAGAUAUCGAGAGGAACACCUGCGGCGAAGGCGGGUUGCUGGGCUGACACUGACGCUGAGGCGCGAAAGCCAGGGGAGCGAACGGG
RNAcentral lists this ribosomal RNA (253 nucleotides) under uncultured bacterium. Its description in RNAcentral is "partial 16S ribosomal RNA". It matches the Rfam family "Bacterial small subunit ribosomal RNA", at positions 524 to 776 of the family's 1533-position model. The record is from RNAcentral.